CCUACGGGAGGCAGCAGUAAGGAAUAUUGGUCAAUGGACGAAAGUCUGAACCAGCCAUGCCGCGUGAAGGAUGAAGGCCCUCUGGGUUGUAAACUUCUUUUAUCUGGGACGAAAAAAGGGAAUUCUUUCUCACUUGACGGUACCAGAGGAAUAAGCACCGGCUAACUCCGUGCCAGCAGCCGCGGUAAUACGGAGGGUGCAAGCGUUAUCCGGAUUCACUGGGUUUAAAGGGAGCGUAGGUGGGUCUGUAAGUCAGUGGUGAAAUCUCCGAGCUUAACUCGGAAACUGCCAUUGAUACUAUAGGUCUUGAAUUAUCUGGAGGUAAGCGGAAUAUGUCAUGUAGCGGUGAAAUGCUUAGAUAUGACAUAGAACACCAAUUGCGAAGGCAGCUUGCUACGGAUAUAUUGACACUGAGGCUCGAAAGCGUGGGGAUCAAACAGGAUUAGAUACCCUGGUAGUCCACGCCCUAAACCGAUGGAUACUCGACAUCAGCGAUACACUGUUGGUGUCUGAGCGAAAGCAUUAAGUAUCCCACCUGGAGUACGACCGCAAGGUUGAAACUCAAGGAAUUGACGGCUGAGAGAGACGAGCGACGACGAGGGAGGAGG
RNAcentral lists this ribosomal RNA (608 nucleotides) under uncultured bacterium. Its description in RNAcentral is "bacterial SSU rRNA". It matches the Rfam family "Bacterial small subunit ribosomal RNA", at positions 338 to 947 of the family's 1533-position model. The record is from RNAcentral.